RNAcentral lists this ribosomal RNA (233 nucleotides) under Tessaracoccus bendigoensis DSM 12906. RNAcentral's name for it is "16S rRNA. Bacterial SSU". It matches the Rfam family "Bacterial small subunit ribosomal RNA", at positions 1202 to 1433 of the family's 1533-position model. Lineage: Bacteria; Bacillati; Actinomycetota; Actinomycetes; Propionibacteriales; Propionibacteriaceae. The record is from RNAcentral.
UUAUGUCCAGGGCUUCACGCAUGCUACAAUGGCCGGUACAAAGAGUUGCGAGCCUGUGAGGGUGAGCGAAUCUCAAAAAGCCGGUCUCAGUUCGGAUUGGGGUCUGCAACUCGACCCCAUGAAGUCGGAGUCGCUAGUAAUCGCAGAUCAGCAACGCUGCGGUGAAUACGUUCCCGGGGCUUGUACACACCGCCCGUCAAGUCAUGAAAGUCGGUAACACCCGAAGCCGGUGG